Long non-coding RNA from Clupea harengus (Atlantic herring), 620 nucleotides. Lineage: Eukaryota; Metazoa; Chordata; Actinopteri; Clupeiformes; Clupeidae. The record is from Ensembl.
GGUGAGGAGGAGACAUUAGACUGGUAGGUAUGAAGAGGAGACAUUAGACUGGUAGGUAUGAGAAGGAGACAUUAGACUGGUGAGGAGGAGACAUUAGACUGGUAGGUAUGAGGAGGAGACAUUAGACUGGUGAGGAGGAGACAUUAGACUGGUAGGUAUGAGGAGGAGACAUUAGACUGGUAGGAGGAGACAUUAGACUGGUGAGGAGGAGACAUUGGACUGGUAGGUAUGAGGGGACAUUAGACUGGUAGGUAUGAGGAGGAGACAUUAGACUGGUAGGUAUGAGGAGGAGACAUUAGACUGGUAGGUAUGAGGAGGAGACAUUAGACUGGUAGGUAUGAGGAGGAGACAUUAGACUGGUAGGUAUGAGGAGGAGACAUUAGACUGGUGAGGAGGAGACAUUAGACUGGUGAGGAGGAGACAUUAGACUGGUGAGGAGGAGACAUUAGACUGGUAGGUAUGAGGAGGAGAACACAUUAGACUGGUAGGUAUGAGGAGAACACAUUAGACUGGUAGGAGGAGAUUGUUUCCUUGGGUUUUAACCUCCUUAGGGAGCGGAGCCGUGACAUCAUGCGCGACUACGGCUGUGUAUUAAUUCUGCAUGCAGUACGACGGAGCGU